GGAAAAGGUUUGAAUUUCUUGUGAUUGCUA
Molecule: non-coding RNA, 30 nt
Filed under: Mus musculus (house mouse)
Lineage: Eukaryota; Metazoa; Chordata; Mammalia; Rodentia; Muridae
Source: RNAcentral